RNAcentral lists this ribosomal RNA (253 nucleotides) under uncultured bacterium. RNAcentral describes it as "partial 16S ribosomal RNA". It matches the Rfam family "Bacterial small subunit ribosomal RNA", at positions 524 to 776 of the family's 1533-position model. The record is from RNAcentral.
UACGUAGGGUGCAAGCGUUGUCCGGAAUUAUUGGGCGUAAAGAGCUCGUAGGCGGUUUGUCGCGUCUGCUGUGAAAACUCGGGGCUUAACCCCGGGUCUGCAGUGGAUACGGGCAGACUAGAGUCAGGUAGGGGAGAACGGAAUUCCUGGUGUAGCGGUGAAAUGCGCAGAUAUCAGGAGGAACACCGGUGGCGAAGGCGGUUCUCUGGGCCUGUACUGACGCUGAGGAACGAAAGCGUGGGGAGCGAACAGG